GACGUAGGGCGCGAGCGUUGUCCGGAAUUAUUGGGCGUAAAGAGCUCGUAGGCGGCUUGUCGCGUCGACUGUGAAAACCCGUGGCUCAACCAUGCGGUCUGCAGUCGAUACGGGCAGGCUAGAAUUCGGUAGGGGAGACUGGAAUUCCUGGUGUAGCGGUGAAAUGCGCAGAUAUCAGGAGGAACACCGGUGGCGAAGGCGGCUCUCUGGUCCACAACUGACGCUGAGGAGCGAAAGCUAGGGGAGCAAACGGG
This 254-nucleotide ribosomal RNA is filed under the name uncultured bacterium. Its description in RNAcentral is "partial 16S ribosomal RNA". It matches the Rfam family "Bacterial small subunit ribosomal RNA", at positions 524 to 776 of the family's 1533-position model. The record is from RNAcentral.